AUUGAACGCUGGCGGCAGGCCUAACACAUGCAAGUCGCACGAGUCCCGGACGGGUUACUUAUGUCUGUGCAACUGCCCGCUGGAGUGGGUUCCCUACUUUCAACUGUAGCUAAUACCGCAUCCCCUCUCAUCUGCCCACAUGGGAUUAGCUAGUAGGUGGGGUAACGGCUCACCUAGGCGACGAUCCCUACCUGGUCUGAGAGGAUGACCAGCAAAACUGGAACUGAGACACGGUCCAGACUCCGACGGGAGGCAGCAGUGGGGAAUAUUGCACAAUGGGCGAAAGCCUGAUGCAGCCAUGCCGCGUGUAUGAAGAAGGGCUUCGGGUUGUAAAGUACUUUAAGCGAGGAGGCGUUACUAGCAGAAGAAGCACAGGCUAACUCCGUGCCAGCCGCCGCGGUAAUAC
This 406-nucleotide ribosomal RNA is filed under the name uncultured bacterium. RNAcentral's name for it is "partial 16S ribosomal RNA". It matches the Rfam family "Bacterial small subunit ribosomal RNA", at positions 30 to 526 of the family's 1533-position model. The record is from RNAcentral.